Gossypium hirsutum (cotton) is the source of this 107-nucleotide non-coding RNA. The record is from Rfam. Lineage: Eukaryota; Viridiplantae; Streptophyta; Magnoliopsida; Malvales; Malvaceae.
AACCCAUGGUGAGGGCACCAUCUUAAUAAGUCAUUGUACCUCUCCUAUGUAUCAUAAAGAGUUUCUAGAUCCAUCUGCACAAAAGAAGAGAUAUCAUUCCUUAAUUU